CCUGGUAUUUUAGAUACCAAAAUAUAUUUCAGAAAGACAGUGAAGAGAGAUUGAGCCAGUAUAAAGUGAUUUUCCACUGAAAAGUGGAAAAAGAGCACAAAUUUCUAAGACAAACACAGUUAAUAGUGGAUAUACUAUUUUUUCUCAUAUAGUAAAGUUACUAGUCAAAAGUUUGAAUACACUUAGGUCACUUUAGAUCUUUUUUCAUAGUUCUGUAUAUAUUUACAGUACAUAACGGAAAAUUUUAACAAGUAGCUACAAAAAAAGGUCAAGUGUUACAGAAAUAUUCAAUUACCUCCUGUUCAAGAAAGUUCAAAUUAGAAUCUAGACAAUGGGGAAAAGAACAGCCAUAAUAAUAAUAUUUUGUAAAAUUCUUUCAAUGAUAGUAUAGUUUGUUUAAACUCUUAAAACAAUAUUCAAUAUCUCAUGCUUACCUCUCCUGCAU
Molecule: long non-coding RNA, 445 nt
Organism: Erpetoichthys calabaricus (reedfish)
Lineage: Eukaryota; Metazoa; Chordata; Cladistia; Polypteriformes; Polypteridae
Exons: 3
Source: RefSeq, a predicted model, not a curated record